RNAcentral lists this ribosomal RNA (781 nucleotides) under uncultured marine bacterium. RNAcentral's name for it is "bacterial SSU rRNA". It matches the Rfam family "Bacterial small subunit ribosomal RNA", at positions 14 to 794 of the family's 1533-position model. The record is from RNAcentral.
UGAUCCUGGCUCAGAUUGAACGCUGGCGGCAGGCCUAACACAUGCAAGUCGAACGGUAACAGGAUAGCUUGCUAUCGCUGACGAGUGGCGGACGGGUGAGUAAUACUUAGGGAUCUGCCUCUGUGUGGGGGAUAACUAUUGGAAACGAUAGCUAAUACCGCAUAAUGUCUACGGACCAAAGCGGGCUUCGGCUCGUGCGCAGAGAGGAACCUAAGCGAGAUUAGCUAGUUGGUGUGGUAAAGGCUCACCAAGGCGACGAUCUCUAGCUGUUCUGAGAGGAAGAUCAGCCACACUGGAACUGAGACACGGUCCAGACUCCUACGGGAGGCAGCAGUGGGGAAUAUUGCACAAUGGGGGAAACCCUGAUGCAGCCAUGCCGCGUGUGUGAAGAAGGCCUUCGGGUUGUAAAGCACUUUCAGUUGUGAGGAAAGUUUAGUAGUUAAUACCUGCUAGAUGUGACGUUAGCAACAGAAGAAGCACCGGCUAACUCCGUGCCAGCAGCCGCGGUAAUACGGAGGGUGCGAGCGUUAAUCGGAAUUACUGGGCGUAAAGCGCACGCAGGCGGUCUGUUAAGCUAGAUGUGAAAGCCCCGCGCUCAACGUGGGAGGGUCAUUUAGAACUGGCAGACUAGAGUCUUGGAGAGGGGAGUGGAAUUCCAGGUGUAGCGGUGAAAUGCGUAGAGAUCUGGAGGAACAUCAAUGGCGAAGGCAACUCCCUGGCCAAAGACUGACGCUCAUGUGCGAAAGUGUGGGUAGCGAACAGGAUUAGAUACCCUGGUAGU